GAUGAAGAACGUAGCGAAAUGCGAUACGUAAUGUGAAUUGCAGAAUUCAGUGAAUCAUCGAAUCUUUGAACGCAUAUUGCGCUCUCUGGUAUUCCGGAGAGCAUGCUUGUUUGAGUAUCAGUAAACACCUCAACUCCCUUUUCUUUUUUGAAAUGGGAGCUGGACUUGAGUGAUCCCAACGCUUUUCUCACCGGAAAGUGGCGGGUUACUUGAAAUGCAGGUGCAGCUGGACUUUUCUCUGAGCUAUAAGCAUAUCUAUUUAGUCUGCCUAAAAACAGAUUAUUACCUUUGCUGCAGCUAACAUAAAGGAGAUUAGUUCUUGUGCUGACUGAUGCAGGAUUCACAGAGACAGCUUCGGCUGACUUUGUAAACUCGAUCUCAAAUCAAGUAAGACUACCCGCUGAACUUAAGAAUAUCAAUAAGCGGAGGA
This 430-nucleotide unclassified non-coding RNA is filed under the name soil metagenome. RNAcentral's name for it is "partial contains 5.8S ribosomal RNA, internal transcribed spacer 2, and large subunit ribosomal RNA". The stretch from base 1 to 120 matches the Rfam family "5.8S ribosomal RNA", at positions 35 to 154 of the family's 154-position model. The record is from RNAcentral.